GAGGGUGAUCGGCCACAUUGGAACUGAGACACGGUCCAAACUCCUACGGGAGGCAGCAGUGGGGAAUAUUGCACAAUGGGCGAAAGCCUGAUGCAGCAACGCCGCGUGAGUGAUGAAGGCCUUCGGGUCGUAAAACUCUGUCCUCAAGGAAGAUAAUGACGGUACUUGAGGAGGAAGCCCCGGCUAACUACGUGCCAGCAGCCGCGGUAAUACGUAGGGGGCUAGCGUUAUCCGGAUUUACUGGGCGUAAAGGGUGCGUAGGCGGUCUUUCAAGUCAGGAGUGAAAGGCUACGGCUCAACCGUAGUAAGCUCUUGAAACUGGGAGACUUGAGUGCAGGAGAGGAGAGUGGAAUUCCUAGUGUAGCGGUGAAAUGCGUAGAUAUUAGGAGGAACACCAGUUGCGAAGGCGGCUCUCUGGACUGUAACUGACGCUGAGGCACGAAAGCGUGGGGAGCAAACAGGAUUAGAUACCCUGGUAGUCCACGCUGUAAACGAUGAGUACUAGGUGUCGGGGGUUACCCCCCUCGGUGCCGCAGCUAACGCAUUAAGUACUCCGCCUGGGAAGUACGCUCGCAAGAGGGAAACUCAAAGGAAUUGACGGGGACCCG
RNAcentral lists this ribosomal RNA (608 nucleotides) under Clostridioides difficile. Its description in RNAcentral is "bacterial SSU rRNA". It matches the Rfam family "Bacterial small subunit ribosomal RNA", at positions 296 to 923 of the family's 1533-position model. Lineage: Bacteria; Bacillati; Bacillota; Clostridia; Peptostreptococcales; Peptostreptococcaceae. The record is from RNAcentral.